CUCUGCUCUGGUUCUACAGGCAAGAACCAUUCACUCUGGGAACAACAAGAAAGAGAGCCGAAAUCUUUGGGACCACACUGGGGAAUGAGCAGUGAGCAAAGCACUAUUCAACAACACGGUUUUGCUUUUUACAAUAUCCCUAGGGUUUUUAAAUUUUGGUAAGAGGACCAAGAUUUGGGUUCAAUUAAUGUGGAAGAGAGUGCCAUGGACUGAUGGGAGAACAAGUUUAAGGAGUAGGGGGCAUUAAAAGUGUGUUUUCUGACAUGUUAAGGUCACAGCACAUGAACAGGUGUUUCCUCUGAGAGCAGGUUUGGAGUAGGCUGAUGAUUACUAGGUGAGAUGACAAGAGAAGUGGAGAAGAGGGAACACGAGCUUGAAGGCAUGCCAACAUCCAGAGACCUAAUGAGGAUGAACUGGCUAAGGAGAUUGAAAAGGGCCAGUGAUAAGCAAGGGCACACCAAAAGCUACUCCAAUUAGUGUAAAGAGAUUCAGAGGCAGAUCAUUUUUUUUAAACCAACACAUGCUUACUUUGUAGGACGGCUUUAAUAUCAUCUACUGAAAUAUUUUAUAUUCACGAAGUGAUUUGAGUGCCUCAGGAAAUCUGUUAAAAACGAAUAAACAAAGAACUAGCUAUUUCUUUAAUUUGUUCCGUGAUUGAGUGAAACUCUUCAUCGUGAUUGAGGGAUGAGUAUUAAACAGAGAUAAUCACAGAUGAAGACAUGUCACAAAUGUUAGCUUUUAUGUCCCUCUUUCACUGAUAAAAUCCAUGAGAAUCCUUCAUAGAACCUUCAAAUUCAUGAAAGCCGUGCCAAAAUACGGACGUGGGAUGCAUUCUUUCUAAGGAAUGGCCUUUAAAAAAAAUAUGGUGAUACCAAGAGUACAGUAAGUUUUUCUAAGCCAACAAGACAGAGGAUUUGGAAUAUAGAUGAUUAUCCUUUCAGAGAAAGAGAAAACAAGUAGCAAAGCUGUGUUUUAGCCAGUUUGCCUUGCUAGAAGGAAGGAGCUUGACCUUACACACAGAAGCAGCCCUGCAGAGACAUGUGCCACACAGCAAAGGAGUCUCGCCAAGGUACAGUUCAAAUGUGGCAUCUGAUCGUGAGGUCACUGAGAGACAGAGAAAGAUUGCAAGUAGGUAAGGCAAGAGAGAAGGCUCUUGAGUAAGAGAUCUCUGCAAGAAACCUGAAUGAAUGAAGAAGUGAACCAUGCAUAUAUGAGGGAAGACCAUUCCAGGCUGAGGGGACAGCAAGGACCAAUAUGCUGUGCUAGGCCCAUGCAUGGGGUAUCCUACAACCAUGUAAUAGGCUAAUGUAGCUCAGCUAAAGCGAAAAAGAAGAGUGAAUGAGAGGAAGAAACUAUGAUCUGUGGCAAAGAAUUCUGAUUUUACUCUGAUCAAGAUGGAAAGCCUCGCAGGAGUUCAAGGAGAAAAAUGAUAUUUCUGGAUGGGCCAGAAGUGCAAAGCAUUCAACUAUUAGAAUUAUGUUGCAAGCAAUACUAUAGAGGUUUGCCUUUCCAAUAUUGCUGUAUUUUGAUGAUCACCUUUGUACCUGAUAGCCAACAGCUCUUCACUUAUAGGUAAAUAUGCCUUAUGCUUGUUUCCCCAGAACUCUGACUUGGAUAGGGUCAGCCAUCCUUUUCCAUAGGCCUAAAUAAGUUUUAACACUGUGAAAGAAACAAUUAUUCAGUGACACUUGUUAAAGAUGGUAAGGGAGACUUUAUUCAAGAGGGACAUCACAAUGGUUGUAGGGACCACUGCAACAGCAUCUUGCAGUGAGUGCAAGAUUGGACUGAACUGAAAACAGCAGAGGCAAGUGAGAUAGCCAAGAAGAACAGGGGAGGAGUCAGUGGGUGGAAACUUAUAAAGGGGUAGCAGGAUUCUGUCUAAAGUGAUGUAACAGGAUUCUUGCUGGAGGCAUGCCAGAGUGAGCAAACAUCAGCUGGUGGACUAUGGAAGAUAAAGAACCCUGUUAUAUAUCCAGGGUGAUCAGACAUGGAUCAUGUGGGAUUCCAGCUGAACUAACUUAGCAGAAUUCUUGCUAAAAUUGGACAAUGCAGAGACACACAUGGAAGUCCAAAAGUCAAGGCCUGGUGGAGAAAUUCAAGGGAGCCUGAAUAGAGUUUGGUCAAGGACAGACUUUUUGUCAACACAAAUCAGAAAAGUCCAUUGGAUAUAAGUGGUGUGAACUCCAGAACCCAGUUUAUAU
This is a long non-coding RNA of Canis lupus familiaris (dog), 2201 nucleotides long. RefSeq lists it as uncharacterized. The record is from RefSeq and is a predicted model, not a curated record. Lineage: Eukaryota; Metazoa; Chordata; Mammalia; Carnivora; Canidae. The transcript has 6 exons.